Molecule: ribosomal RNA, 447 nt
Filed under: uncultured bacterium
Lineage: Bacteria
Description: bacterial SSU rRNA
Rfam family: Bacterial small subunit ribosomal RNA
Source: RNAcentral
UCGGGAAUUUUGGGCAAUGGGCGAAAGCCUGACCCAGCAACGCCGCGUGGAGGAUGAAGUAUUUCGGUAUGUAAACUUCGUAAGAAUAGGAAGAAUAAAUGACGGUACUAUUUGUAAGGUCCGGCUAACUACGUGCCAGCAGCCGCGGUAAUACGUAGGGACCAAGCGUUGUUCGGAUUUACUGGGCGUAAAGGGCGCGUAGGCGGUGUGUCAAGUCAGUUGUGAAAUCUCCGAGCUUAACUCGGAACGGUCAACUGAUACUGUCACACUAGAGUACAGAAGGGGCAAUCGGAAUUCUUGGUGUAGCGGUGAAAUGCGUAGAUAUCAAGAGGAACACCUGAGGCGAAGGCGGGUUGCUGGGCUGAUACUGACGCUGAGGCGCGAAAGCUAGGGUAGCAAACGGGAUUAGAUACCCCGGUAGUCCCUGAGCGGGCUGGCAAGGCGCAU